Molecule: ribosomal RNA, 1098 nt
Filed under: Flavobacterium sp.
Lineage: Bacteria; Pseudomonadati; Bacteroidota; Flavobacteriia; Flavobacteriales; Flavobacteriaceae
Description: bacterial SSU rRNA
Rfam family: Bacterial small subunit ribosomal RNA
Source: RNAcentral
GUCGAGGGGUAUGCUUCUUCGGGAGCAGAGACCGGCGCACGGGUGCGUAACGCGUAUGCAAUCUACCUUUUACAGAGGGAUAGCCCAGAGAAAUUUGGAUUAAUACCUCAUAGUAUAAUAGCUCGGCAUCGAGCAAUUAUUAAAGUCACAACGGUAAAAGAUGAGCAUGCGUCCCAUUAGCUAGUUGGUAAGGUAACGGCUUACCAAGGCUACGAUGGGUAGGGGUCCUGAGAGGGAGAUCCCCCACACUGGUACUGAGACACGGACCAGACUCCUACGGGAGGCAGCAGUGAGGAAUAUUGGACAAUGGGCGCAAGCCUGAUCCAGCCAUGCCGCGUGCAGGAUGACGGUCCUAUGGAUUGUAAACUGCUUUUGUACAGGAAGAAACAGUUCUACGUGUAGAACCUUGACGGUACUGUAAGAAUAAGGAUCGGCUAACUCCGUGCCAGCAGCCGCGGUAAUACGGAGGAUCCAAGCGUUAUCCGGAAUCAUUGGGUUUAAAGGGUCCGUAGGCGGUUUAAUAAGUCAGUGGUGAAAGCCCAUCGCUCAACGGUGGAACGGCCAUUGAUACUGUUAAACUUGAAUUAUUAGGAAGUAACUAGAAUAUGUAGUGUAGCGGUGAAAUGCUUAGAGAUUACAUGGAAUACCAAUUGCGAAGGCAGGUUACUACUAAUUGAUUGACGCUGAUGGACGAAAGCGUGGGUAGCGAACAGGAUUAGAUACCCUGGUAGUCCACGCCGUAAACGAUGGAUACUAGCUGUUGGGAGCAAUUUCAGUGGCUAAGCGAAAGUGAUAAGUAUCCCACCUGGGGAGUACGUUCGCAAGAAUGAAACUCAAAGGAAUUGACGGGGGCCCGCACAAGCGGUGGAGCAUGUGGUUUAAUUCGAUGAUACGCGAGGAACCUUACCAAGGCUUAAAUGUAGAUUGACCGGUUUGGAAACAGAUCUUUCGCAAGACAAUUUACAAGGUGCUGCAUGGUUGUCGUCAGCUCGUGCCGUGAGGUGUCAGGUUAAGUCCUAUAACGAGCGCAACCCCUGUUGUUAGUUGCCAGCGAGUCAUGUCGGGAACUCUAACAAGACUGCCAGUGCAACUGUGAGG